Maniola jurtina (meadow brown) is the source of this 8276-nucleotide long non-coding RNA. RefSeq lists it as uncharacterized. The record is from RefSeq and is a predicted model, not a curated record. NCBI's taxonomy places the organism in Eukaryota, Metazoa, Arthropoda, Insecta, Lepidoptera, Nymphalidae. The transcript is spliced from 2 exons.
CUUAAGAGGGAUUUUAUUUUAUACAGAAAUAGUUUGACUUUCAUUUGAAUACUAACGAAUCAAACUUAAUAAAAUUUAUUCUAUGCGUUCUAGGAAUAUGGUCGACUGUGGUUUUCCAGAUUUCCGUUAAAAUAUUCAGUGUCAAAGUUACACGGUCUCAACAAUUUACAGACAAAUUUUUAAACCCGUGUAAUUUUAAAUUUAUUUUUACGGACAACUGUAAACCACAGAUAUAGAUAUCAGUUUUUAGAACCAGUCUACAAAAUUACAUCGAGUUUGAUUGGUGAAUAUUUGGUGGUUGAAUAUUUAUUUGAAAAUCAAGCUACGUCUUGCGAGUGACGGAGAGUGCCCCCUCAUAAGUAAUGGAUAUUCCAUUCCAUUCAUGUGAUAAAGUCGAUAGUUAUUCGUCUAUGGCAGCCGAAGAAAAAAUUUAGCGACACAGAAAUCGUGAAAUCAUGUUUCAAUUAAAAAGAAAUGACCUAUUUAAAAUAGACGAAUUUGGUAAGGCACAAAAUAAAUAUACGAAACAGUUUUUGCGUAAUAAUUUUUAUGUUUCAGACCAGACCUGAGUUUAUUUAGAUUUUUCUCAUUUCCAAACUAAGAUUUUUUAGAUUUUUUAGACUUUGCUCAGACCUAAGCUUCAGUUAAAACGAGACGGUUUUAUGUCAGCAGUAUAGCGCUAUCUCGUUUUAACGGUGUCUUAAGUCUAAGCUAAGUCAAAGUGCGCUCUUUAGAUCUAAACCUUACUCUGCCACGAAUCAAACUCGGGCUUCACACUUGAGGCCACAACGCACAUCGUUGCACCAAAACUUUUUAAUUUAUAAUACGCAAAAAUUAUUGCCAUAUACGUAUAUUUAUUUUGUACCAUUUUCGCAUAAUACUUUAGAAAAUUACCCUUAAAAUUAUCAAGGAACCAAACAAACUUUUGUGUCAUGACGCGACAGAAAGGAUUUGAGACAUACAUUGUGUAUCGUGCACACUAAUCUGUCGUUGCGUUCUACCACGUUGACUCUCCAGGCGCGCUUUAAUUGGUCAAGCCAGAUUCCGUUGCGUCACAACGCAGUGGUUUGUUAUUAACUUUGACAGCUACAAUACAAUGCGAUAAUUGCAAUAAUCACUUCCGGUCGAAACUAUUUAGCUUUUGGAUAAAAUACGAUUAAAGCAGACUACCGCAUAUCAAACCAACAGCUAUAGCGACGAUAGCUUUACUAUAACAAUCAGUUUAGUCAUCAUUCGGUGCUAGGGACGCAGGUUAUUAACAACAGAAAUAUUUAUUUCUUUAUACCUUACACUUAAAAUAUUUUAAAACUAGUUGCAAAAACUAAACUACAAUUUCUGUGUCAAUGUAAUCAUACGACAAAAAUAUUUUGUGUGUUUUUAUAACGAUAAAAUAUUAGGAACUAUUCUUUAUAAUAAAUUCAAUAUUAGAAGCGACCUAAGCGAAGUGUAGACGUAUAUAGUUAGGUAUAUUAAAUUUUAUGUCCUACAGUUACCAAAUAGUAGAAAUUUUACGUGGCGCACGUGUGGCAGCACUGACGAUUGUCUACGCAAUGGUAGAAUCAUUUUAUUAUUACUAACCAGGUUCAAAAGGUCUAGAACCCAGAGUCGUAAAACCAGUUAAAUACCAAUUUAAAAAAAAAACUCGAUCUUAUAAAUAUCGGUUUAAUGUUUAUGUUAAGAAUAGCUUUUUUUUAUUAUUAUUAAAAUAAUAAUAUUAAGCAUUUGAAAGCUUUUCUAAGUUUGGUUGAAUAUAUAUAGUUAGGUUUGGUUAAAGAACAUUGUUCUUUUAUUUAAAAAUAAUUUCAUCCAUCUAUAGAAAUUAUUAAAAUGGCCACACCCGCGCCACAUAAACGAUUAUUUAAAAAAAAAAAGCGUAAUUACAAACUAGAAAAAUUAAAAAUAAGAAAACACACCCUAAAUAACUCUUUUUUAUAUUUAAUGCAAUAUACAGAUUAAAAAUUGCCUUUUGCGAAAUUCAAAUUAUCCAAAUCAAAUCGAAAAAAAACUGAAUCAACUCUUUUCCUCCACUGUUUGCCCGCAAAGAUAUCAUAAACGUUUUAUUCGCUAAUUAAUUUAUAAUAUGAAAAUAAGUUUUAUUUAGCUACAUUAGGUACAUUAUUUAAUAAUUAUAUUGUAACUUAUUAUUACUAAGAUAUAUUUUUGUCAACAUUAAUUAAAUUUUACAUAAAACAUUAGCUUAACUUUAGCAAAGACUAAACUUCAUGCCAUUUUUUUAUACAGUGAAAAGCGUUAAUUACAAUAGGUAGUUACUCCUAAAUUAAAUUUUGACACUAAAUCUGUCUAAAUUUAGUUUAAAAAAAAAUUGAAAUUGCGUUAAAUGACAGUAUUUUGGAAAAAAUCUAUAUUACAAUUUCACUAAAAAAAAACUAUAAACUGACUAUUUAUUAUUUUACUAUCACUGAAUUUUAGAGCUUUAAUUAAAAGCUUAUUUUUUUAAUUUAGUUACCUAUACUCUUAGUACGAGUUAACAUCUCUGAGACUUUGAUGGUUUUCGUUUUCGACAAAGUUUAUUGAGAAAUUCUUUUCAAAACUUAACUCGUUCUAGGGGUAAUCUACGUUUACGAUAUUUUUGGCGGGAAUAAGUCAUGUUUGAUGAUUCAACAUUUUUUCAUAUUUAGGUAUCUUGCAGUAUGAUGUAAUUAUGCAGAGUAUGAUAUAAUUCAAAUGGCAAUCGUCAUUGAAGGUGACAGCAACUGUCAAAUAUGAUGCUUGAUUAACUUGUAAUCAUGUUAUUAUACAUUUUUAAUUAUAUUUGAAAAUAUUAAAUUCUACUUUUUUUUUGGAUUUCAUUCGAAUAAUUUUAUUUUUCACCGCACCCAUAAUUCCUAAAUCUCGUACACGAUACAGUUAAACGAUCGUAUUGAGCAAGUUAGUGUUAUUAUUUAUAACGUAAAAGAGAAAAAGAAAAUAAAGAUUACAUAUCUAUAUUUAGUAUAUCAUGAACAAUUAUAUAUUUUUAUUUAUUUAUUCAUUUUAUUAUAUCUAUGGUAUACAGUAGUAUUUUACACAUAUCACCAGUCCAUAAAAGCAAAAAAAAAAAUAGGUAUCUAUGGUUUUGUGGGCAUAUUUUUUAUAAUGAAUGCAAUUAAAAAAAAAAAAAAUUGCCAUGCAUAUUAUGUAUCAUAAUAUGAGGAAAAACGUUUUAUGUUUACACAACGAUAUAUAAUUUUUAGCGUAUUAGACCUUUAUUUAUCUAUUUCAAUAAGAAAGUGAAAACUUAAAGACAUUUAGUUCUGUCCAAUUACAGAAACAAUAGAAAAUCUAUUGAACAGAUAAUCACGAACCGACUAAAUAAGAAUGUAAUAUUCUGUCCUGUUCUUACUGAAAUAGAUAAAAAGAGAUGCACAUAACUCAAAAUUUUUAAAUACGACUUAUUUAAAAUAUUUAAAAAAAAGUUUCGUUUUUGUAUACUGAAACGGACCAAUCAAUUUCGACCAUCAAAAAGAGUACAAUUGUACCUACUUUGAAUAAAUGAUUUUGACUUUGACUUUGACUUUGAAAUUCACACAUACAUAUUUAGGCAGCGUGCACUUUUCUACCAAUCUAGUUCAAACUUCUCGCCCUUGCUUAGGCUAUCAAUAAUUCCAAAAGUAAUAUAAUCAUCAGUCAGAAUUGGCAUUGUUUUAAACGAAUAUUAAAAAAAAAAAAAAUGUUUUAAACCACUAUGAUUUAAUCAGUAGCCGGUAAAUAGAAUAACUUUUUCAUAUGCAAUGCUGCCUUUUGUAUUUAUAUGACGUAGUAGUAUGAAACUUUCAUAAUACACUAAAUACGAAUACAAUCUUUAGCUAAUUGACUAAAGAAACAAAUGCCGGAUUUAAACUUAAAUUUAUAUCUAAAAAAAACAAUAGUGACAAAUUAUUAUUAUGGAUAUUUUUAAUUGAAACCAUUAUGACUAAAUAGGAACUAAAAUAUUUAUCGUGAACUCAGCGUCCGAUUUCUUUUAUUAGUGGGAUUAGAAUCGGUUUUUUUAGACUGUCUCUUUUGAAAUUACUUGACUUCAGUUAAAACUAUGCAUAGUUACUAUAGAAACCGAUUAUAAUCAUAUUGUUAGGCGCGCAAGGACGGUUAAACUGCAUGCGUUAUUUAUAUGGCAAUGUAUAUGAGUGUAUAUAAAUUUGUGUGUGAAUGUACAAGCAACAAUGUUAACGUUCAACUUUGUAUAAUAAAUCCGAGCGGUUAUUUGACCAGCCGAUUAUAUAACCAUGCGCCUAGCCUUACUAUAGUUAAAAUCGGUUUCUAUAGUAUCAUUACACAGUUUUAUAACAAUCGAAGUCCAGUUAUUGCAAAAAAGAAAGUGGUUCUAGAAAACCAAUGCAAAUCGGUUCUAAAAACCCAAUUUAACCGUUUUUCGAAAUAUCGGUCGUAUAUAAAACUGAGUCAAAGGCCCCUAAGAUCACUUGCGGCGAUCCAGUUUUUAAAUAAGAGUUUUGUAUUGAGACAAAAUUGAUCUCUUGUUUCAAAAUUUCAGAAAUCAGCCUUUUCAGGAAUAACUAAAAAAUCUACUGGCCGAUUUACGUAGUAACCAAAAUAAAUGACAAAGAUUUUGCAAAAUCGGUUACGAUUGGCAACCGUUUUGUUUCAUUGGCUAUUGGUGAUAAUAUUUGUGCUAGAGCAUAUUAAAACGGAUUAACCAUAUUAGUUUCAAUUAAAAAAUAGGCUCUUUUAUAAUAAAUUUGUGUGCAUCAGUUGUGUCAUCAUAAUCAUAAUAAUAUAUUAAUAAGUGGCAGUAUAAUUUAAGAGCGGACGCCAUACUGUUUGGGUUAUUAAAAUCUUAUCACACAUGAUUUAACAAAGGAAAUAUGAACAGAACCUUCCUUUUUUGGAAAUCGGUUAAAAAUGCGUGGGAAUUUUUUGAAACAUUCGUAACAUAAUAGUCUGAUUUUGUGAAAAAUACUAAUAAAUGUUGCAUUGGCAAAGUACGAUAGCAAACUUAUUUAUUAAUCGGUCCGGUAACCGAUUUUUGUGAUGGACCAAUGAACAAAUAAAUUAAUUAUUAAUAAAAUCAGUUUUGUUCCUAACUUUUAGCAUGAUAUUAUUCUAAUCAUAUUUAUUUAUACUUCGAUGGAUCAAUUAAAAUCGGCUAGUGCAAAAUCACUGAAUUUAAUAAUUUUAAAUCAUCAAUCAUCAUGUAUACAAAAAUAAUAGCAAACAAUUUAAUUUGAUUUUCCUAUUCCUACCAAGAAAACAUCUACAAUGAUUGUGUGAUGGAAGGUGUCGAGACCCGCAUCAAUGAUGAAGACGGGGCAGAGAGAAGUGAUAAAAUUUUAACAAUACAUUACAUAGUCCGCAAUACGAUACACAGUCAAAAUACAUCGUUUAAACAAUUUUAAUCGUACAAAAAAAUACAUAUAGUGCUGCACGAAAAAAAGAUAUUUUUUUUUACAAUUUUUUCUACAAAAUAUGCAUAUAGCCAGUCUUUGCGGCGUUUCAACGCCUACACGAAGUGCUUUUUUUAACAAUUUGACUAUUUUUCAACUGAAAUUUACAAUCUGUACUCUUAUAGCCAAAAUUAAUAAUCUAUCUCUAAUCUGUCUAGAAGUUAGGUACUUCGCAAUGUAGUUAAAAGUUCUAUACAAGCUGAAAUUUUGAUGGUUGUUAACAAUAAUAAGUAUAAAAUUAUUAGAAUCAAAAUUGAAAAAUUUGCAAUCGAGAAAAAUAAAACUCGAAAGAGACCUCGAACCAAUAGUAAUACCGCGUGCGUGCAGGCUAGUUUAUACCGUGUCACUACGCGCGAGAGCUUAUUUUGCUCUAAACAUUUUCACUUUAUCGGCAGCGUGUACUUACCUACUAUUUACGUUAUGUCUAGUGAAUUACCACUGUUUCUCACGCGUUCUAGUUGAUGAUAUUUUUUUUUUAUUUUUUUCCAAAAAAAAAAGCAACUGUCUAUUUAUUAAAUUUAACUCUAUGUUUUAAACAUUUUCACUUUAUCGGCAUCGUGGUUUGAAUGGAUGCACCUAUCCUGCUACAUACUAUUUUCGUUAUGUCUAGUGAAUUACUACUGUUUCUCACGUGUUCGAAUUGAUUUUUAAUUUUUUGAAAAAGAAAAAAACCAUGUUUCGAUAGUACUACCGAAAGCAAAUCGUUGGGAAAACAACCAUUAAAAUUUCAGCUUGUAUAAUUUCUUUGACAAAUAACAAUUGCGCAGCAACAUAUUGGAAACAUUCCAGAUAAAUACCUAUUAUUAAUUUUGGUCGUUUAUUUAACACUUUUGAAAUUUUCAACAAUGAAAAUUUAAAGGCAACAGAGAAUUUUGUUGCAAGUAGUUAAUGUCAAAUUAGUUGCAAAAAAAGUUAUUACGUCCAAUUAAAAAUCGUCAAGUUUAGAUAUUUUAUGUUGGCAAUUUUACAUACUGUGAUUCGUAUUAAACGGAUGCUAUGAGCAAUGCAAGAUGCAAAGUGCGUACGCCAUCUUGAAUAUUUGCUGUGUCAUAACUUAUAUUGACUAGCAAUUUUAAGGAACUCAUCGCUUCAUAAUCAAAGUAGGGAUUGUAAAUUUCAGUUUUCACAAUGAUGAUUAUUAACAACUGUACAAUUUAUUUUUUCAUAUUUUUGAAAAAAAAAAAACAAACAAAAUCAAGAAAUUCAUCGAGACAAAUAUAUACAGGUAGAGUUUUGAAAAGGGAUUUCUAUGGCAGCUUUCAUAACCAUUAUAUGAAGAUUUCUUAGAAAUCCACCUAGAUAUUUGGAUACAUUUCAAAAACUCACACAUGACAGGAACAAUUCAAUCAGUGUGUAAAUACAAUAUGUAUGUAUGUAUGUAUGUGUUUAUAUAGAAAACUAUAUGAUUUUGAUGACAGUGACUUUGUGUUGUAUACAGGGCUUAAACUUAAUUGAGAAAACUAUACCUAUGUAAACACUCAUACCUAUGUGACGUUUCGUCUCAACGACAGAGACAACGCUCUACGAAACCGUUAUCUCUUUCUAAAGUUCAGUACAGUGUUGUACAGAGCCUUUUCACUUCAUAAAAGCUGAGUCAAUUUUUUACUCCUGCAUAUUUAUUUAGCUUUGAGUUUUCUUGUGUUCUUCUACAAUAUAAAGAAGCGUUGCUUUUCUAUCCUUUGUUAAAACUAUCAAGUUAAAACUAUAACCUAUAUUUUUUUGAUUUUUUCUUACACAAUUAUGUGACAAAAUUUAAUUUAAUGGUCAUUUCAUUUAUAAUAUAGACCUAUAAAUUUAAAGCAUAAUUUAGACCUACGAUAUGCUCCUUUUUUUGAAUUGUCAAAAAAUGUUUAGAUGUCAACUUUUUGGCUGAUCUCUAUAGAACAUACUUUAACUUUGCUCAGACUUAAUUUUCAGUUAAGGGGCAAGCGACGGGUCUGCCCGCGAAAUCAAAUUUAAUUUGGUUUUUCGCAAUUUGUAAACUAAUACGACAAAGUAGGCUUAUGGCAUUCUAGUUGCGACAGUGGCAGUUUCAUUUCCAGGUGUUUAUAUAAAAAUCUUUACUUGAUAAGGCCCAGUUUAAGAAAUUAGCUCUAGUAUCGACUAAAUUGUGAGUUACAGUCGAUACUAGAGCUAAUUUCUUAAACUGGACCCUUUCAAGUAAAGAUUUUUACAUAAAUAGGUGGGGAUAAUACUGUUACUGUCGCAAAUAGAAUGUCAUAAUCCCCCUUAAACAAUAUAAGCUGUCUUGUUUUAAGUUUGAGUAAAAUCAAAGUGUGUUCUAUAAAGACUUAAUAAGAAAGUGAUAAUAUACACACUGAUUGUAAAGCUCUGUCUUUUGUUUAGAUUUAUUUCGUAUUUUUUAUGAGUUACAUGCAUUUCAUUGCAAAAAAAAACAUUGGUUAUAAGUUCAACGUAAAAUUUUCACAAAAAUCAUGGAACUUUAAGUAUAAUGCAUGUUUUUGGUCGAAUCUGUAUGGGUAAGUCAGCUGUAAAGUAUACAAUGAUUACUUACUAUGCUGACUCUUGGCCACCAACACUGAAAACUGUACUGCAAUUAAUAUGGUAUAAUGUGGUAUUAUAAUCGAAAUAAAACUAUUUAUAAUUUCAUUUCGGACCUGCGAUUUUUGCAAAAAUACACUAUGAAUUUUAACUUCCCAGAAAGAACCCAGCUUUCGAAAAUCAUUAUAAUGCAUGAUGAUAUAACUAAACGUAAAUUCUUUACCACUUAAUUAAAAAUUUAACAAACCUUCAAAAUUCCUAUCUAGUUUUUUUUAUAUCUGUGAUCUAUGGUAAUGCUGUCAAAAAAAAAAUACGAAAUAAACCCUUGUCUAUGACUCGAUCGCGCAGUGAGUGUUGCCACUUUAUAACCUUAAA